CGUAGGUGACAAGCGUUGUCCGGAUUUAUUGGGUUUAAAGGGUGCGUAGGCGGCCCUGUAAGUCAGUGGUGAAAUAUCUCAGCUUAACUGAGAGGGUGCCAUUGAUACUGCGGGGCUUGAGUACAGAUGAGGUAGGCGGAAUUGACGGUGUAGCGGUGAAAUGCAUAGAUAUCGUCAAGAACUCCGAUAGCGAAGGCAGCUUACUAAGCUGUAACUGUCGCUGAGGCACGAAAGUGUGGGGAUCAAACAGGAUUGGAUACCCUGGUAGUCCACACUGUAAACGUUGAUGACUCGAUGUUGGCGAUACACAGCCAGCGUCCAAGAGCAAUCGUUAAGUCAUCCACCUGGGGAGUACGCCGGCAACGGUG
Molecule: ribosomal RNA, 368 nt
Filed under: uncultured organism
Description: bacterial SSU rRNA
Rfam family: Bacterial small subunit ribosomal RNA
Source: RNAcentral